Mastomys coucha (southern multimammate mouse) is the source of this 443-nucleotide long non-coding RNA. RefSeq lists it as uncharacterized. The record is from RefSeq and is a predicted model, not a curated record. Lineage: Eukaryota; Metazoa; Chordata; Mammalia; Rodentia; Muridae. The transcript is spliced from 2 exons.
AAGGACUGAAAUGACAGAGAAAAAAAGCUUUGCAGCUAUCAGGCCAGCCUGAGGGCAACGUCAGGGUAACCAGGAGCUAAUGAGAGUCUUCAGAGAGGAAGGCUGGAUUUCUGUAAUACACUCCGGAUGAGCAGAGGCAGGGGAGGGAGCAGGGUUAAGAACGCAAACAAAAAACUAAUGAUGAUAAUUAGUCCUACUCAGAAUAAAACGUCUCCUUCCUAAACCACUGCAGAAGAUAAAAGCAAACAAAACCCAGUCUGCUCAGAAAGGGAGCAGAAGAGUCACCAUGAGAAAAUAGAGAUGACCUCAGGGCAUGUGGGCAGUGGGCAGAAGAGACGCAACUCCAGCAGCAGCCCCAACAGCACAAACACAAGCUGCCUUGUCAACAAAGAGCUGGAGACAACUGGGAAAGGGAAUUAAAUGAUUUGCUUGCUACUGGAUUA